AACGAACGCUGGCGGCGUGCCUAACACAUGCAAGUCGAGCGGGAAAGUUCCCUUCGGGGAGCGAGUACAGCGGCGAACGGGUGAGUAACACGUAGGUAACCUACCCUGGAGAUCGGGAUAACCUGCCGAAAGGCGGGCUAAUACCGGAUAAGACCACGAGGGCUGCGGCCCUUGAGGAAAAAGAUGGCCUCUGCUUGCAAGCUAUCACUCUGGGGAUGGGCCUGCGCGCCAUUAGCAGUUGGUGAGGUAACGGCUCACCAAGGCUGAGAUGGCUAGCUGGUCUGAGAGGAUGGCCAGCCACACUGGGACUGAGACACGGCCCAGACUCCUACGGGAGGCAGCAGUGGGGGAAUAUUGGACAAUGGGCGCAAGCCUGUAUCCAGCGAUGCCGCGUGUGUGAAGAAGGCCUGCGGGUUGU
Molecule: ribosomal RNA, 418 nt
Filed under: uncultured bacterium
Lineage: Bacteria
Description: bacterial SSU rRNA
Rfam family: Bacterial small subunit ribosomal RNA
Source: RNAcentral